Molecule: ribosomal RNA, 394 nt
Filed under: uncultured Rubrobacter sp.
Lineage: Bacteria; Bacillati; Actinomycetota; Rubrobacteria; Rubrobacterales; Rubrobacteraceae
Description: bacterial SSU rRNA
Rfam family: Bacterial small subunit ribosomal RNA
Source: RNAcentral
AACGCGAAGAACCUUACCAAGGCUUGACAUGCUGGUGGUAGGCGCCGGAAACGGUGGCCGACCCUUCGGGGAGCCAGCACAGGUGCUGCAUGGCUGUCGUCAGCUCGUGUCGUGAGAUGUUGGGUUAAGUCCCGCAACGAGCGCAACCCCCGCCCUGUGUUGCCAGCAUUAAGUUGGGGACUCACAGGGGACUGCCGGUGACAAACCGGAGGAAGGUGGGGAUGACGUCAAGUCAUCAUGGCCCUUGUGAUUUGGGCUACACACGUGCUACAAUGGACAAUACAAAGGGCAGCGAAACCGCGAGGUCAAGCAAAUCCCAUAAAGUUGUUCUCAGUUCGGAUUGUAGUCUGCAACUCGACUAUAUGAAGGCGGAGUGCUAGUAAUCGCGAUCAGC